Molecule: ribosomal RNA, 253 nt
Filed under: uncultured bacterium
Lineage: Bacteria
Description: partial 16S ribosomal RNA
Rfam family: Bacterial small subunit ribosomal RNA
Source: RNAcentral
UACGGAGGGUGCUAACGUUGCUCGGAAUUAUUGGGCGUAAAGCGCGCGUAGGCGGUUUUGCAAGUUGGACGUGAAAGCCCAGGGCUUAACCUUGGAAGUGCAUCCAAAACUGCAAAACUUGAGUUUCGGAGGGGGUUGGAGAAUUCCCGGUGGAGAGGUGAAAUUCGUAGAUAUCGGGAGGAAUACCAGUGGCGAAGGCGCCGACCUGGCCGAAUACUGACGCUGAGGUGCGAAAGCAUGGGGAGCAAACAGG